UAGCUCAACUGGUAGAGCAUGGCAUUAACACUGCCUGGGUCAGGGUUUUUAUUCCCACUGUAGCCACCCA
Molecule: non-coding RNA, 70 nt
Organism: Merluccius polli (Benguela hake)
Lineage: Eukaryota; Metazoa; Chordata; Actinopteri; Gadiformes; Merlucciidae
Source: the annotation of a GenBank genome assembly